Molecule: long non-coding RNA, 419 nt
Organism: Pygocentrus nattereri (red-bellied piranha)
Lineage: Eukaryota; Metazoa; Chordata; Actinopteri; Characiformes; Serrasalmidae
Exons: 3
Source: RefSeq, a predicted model, not a curated record
UCGGCUCCCUCCUGACUCGCGUCCCGUUCCGCUCCCAUGCGGAUUUAACGGAUUUACCUUCCCGCAGGCUCCCAUGGCUAGGUCAAGCGCAGCGGAUCGAUGGUGUGCUGUGGUCCCCAGUGUGCUCAGCGACGUGACAGCAGACUUGACAGCAGAUUUGGCCACGCACAGACAGUGACUAAACAGAAAAUGGCUCCAAAAGUGUCUGUUCUGAUGAAAUGCCUGCAGCCGGCUCUGAGGGACAGGGGAUGGCAGUAUGUUGUCUGUGGAGAUAUCGCAGCAUUAGAGGAGGGAGACAGAUCACUGAGCACCCUCAGGUUACGCUGAAAGCUGGACAUGCACAAACAGAUGCUUCUCUCUGACAUCGAUUCCUUUGGUCUGGCCAGCUGCCCUCAAGAAACUCGAGCUGUCAAACAAGG